RNA transcript from Ictalurus punctatus (channel catfish), 4474 nucleotides. It is a transcript of the gene named interleukin-6 receptor subunit beta, with no coding region annotated. The record is from RefSeq and is a predicted model, not a curated record. Lineage: Eukaryota; Metazoa; Chordata; Actinopteri; Siluriformes; Ictaluridae. The transcript has 10 exons.
AAAUACGCAUGUCACAUGACCAUUCAUGCACACUGGGCGUGCGCAUACAAGUGUAAACAGGAAGUUGCUUGAUAGUCACCGUCAGGCGCAACAAACCGGCAUUCCAUGUAUCCAUGGCGUUCCAGUUUAUGCCACUUGAAAGGAGCCAGCCUGUCCAAGUCUGUGACCAUGGAGGAGCUGAUGGAGACAGCUAAAGGCAUGACUAACAUGGUGUUGGCUUAUGAGAUCACAAUGAACAGUGACUUCCAAAUCAAACCCACUGAGCCUGCUGAGUGAAGUUUACAGAAAAAUGUUAAGGAAAUUCUGCACAAAGCAUUCUGCGAUGGCCUUAAAGACCAGCUGAACAUGCCAUCAAACUGGUCGGGGAAAUUAAAGAGUUUUGCUCUGGACAUCACAGUCACCUGACUUGUACCCCAUAGAAAAUCUCUGGUGGGAUUUGAAGAAGGCAGUUGCAGCACAGAAACCCAAGAUUAUUACUGAACUGGAGGCCAUUGCUCAUGAGGAAUAGGCUAAGAUUCCUCAGGAGUGCUACCAGAAGCUAUGCAUCUCGUUUGCUGCAGGUCAUAACAGCAAAAGGGUUCUCUACUAAGUACAAAAGAUGCUUGCCAUGAAGGGAUUUGAAUAAUUUUGAUUGUAACUGCACGAUGGAACAGACUCACCUGCAGAUGCUGGAGAUGUUAUAGUGAUGCUCAACAGCUUUCACAGCAAGAUCAUCAAAGUCCGACAUGCAGAUUCAGAAAAAGCCAGAGAAACUCGAUGAAGAUCUUCUGAGUGAAUCGACAGAAAGCGAAGGCCUGUGGGACUCGAUCACAAGUUUAACAGGUGGUUCCAGUGUAGAGGAAGGGGAUACAAAGAAGGAGGAUGUGCUCAACAUCUUUUCAGUGGCAUCUGGACAUCUGUAUGAGUGCUUCUUGAGAAUAAUGAUGCUGUCUGUCCUCCAACACACUAAAACCCCUGUCAAGUUUUGGUUCCUGAAAAACUACCUCUCUCCAUCUUUUAAGGUUAAAGAGGCGUUUCUGGCCACAGGUCCCCAACCCGUCUCACAGCACUAUUGCUAACUGGUCACCUGACUGCCCCAACAAGCUGGACACUCUGAAAGAAAGGAUCCUGGCGGAGGUGAGCGUGGUGGAGGUGGACAUGGAUGACGGAAAGUCCCUGUGCGAUGAGGAUAAAGCAGUGAUGCCGCUCAAGAAGUACUUUUCGGAGGAGCGCAGCGGCAUCGGUGGAUCGUCCGGCAUGUCCACUCUGCGCCAGAGUGUGUCCUGCAAUGAUGAGGCUGACUCGGGCCAAACCACGGCCAGCACUGUGCAGUACUCUGCCGCAGUGAGCAGCGGGUAUAAAGGCCAGACUCCCGGCACUCAAGCGUCGGUGCUCUCUCGUUCCGAAUUGACCCAGCCACUACUGGAAUGUGAGGAAAACCCAGAGCACCUGUCCGAGGCCAGUGGCCACCAAACGAACUCCUACUUCAAAUGACAUAGAGGCAACGAGCAGCUGCACAUUGAUGAAGGAGAGGAGCCUAGCUUUGGCUCUCUGAGCUUUAGUCCAAUAGAGGAGGAGAACUCGCCCACUCUGACCGAGGAUCCUCGAAGUCCUGCCUCCAGUUACAUGCCGUAACAGAGUGGAUACUGGUCGCAGCGAGAGGACAAAAACACUAUCAGUUUUCGUGCAAUCCUGUGCCUUCUUCUGGUGAAUUUUUUAAUAAUUUUUUUAUUUGCCAUGUUUAAAAAUCCAUAUAAGUUUCACACUUACUGCUGCUAAAUUUAAGAAGCUGGUUGUCUCAUGGCUGUGAUUCAGUUUUCAGAUAAAAUUAUAUUGGUGCCAUGUUAAACAUCCGCAUAUCUACUGGCAAUGACGGUUUCAUUUUGUAUAUUGACACUUUUUUGUAAUUUGGAAUUUGAAAACUUGCACGUUGCUUUUGUAAUGUUACACAUGCUAUGGGGUUAAAGCAUAUACAGUACCCUCCAGAAUUAUUGGCUUGCAUGAAAAUGAGCAAAAUAUCUAUAACAUUCAAUAAGUGUUUUUUUUAAACUAAGACAUGCAAGGACAUUGUAUUAUUUUAUAGUUUAUAACUUUUUACCCCCCAAAGAAAAGUCUGUUCCUGUAGUAUCUAGACCUGUAGAGGACCUUGGAUUUUGUUUCUUUUAUCAUAUGUGCUUAUUUAGAAGUCUGUUUGGCUCAUCAUCUUGCUGAAAGAUCAGUCAGCGGCCAUGUCUUAACCUCCCGGCAGAGGCAACCAUGUUUUGGCCUGAAAUGUUCUGAUACUUUAUAAUGCCACCAAUCUUCCCAGCAGUCUCUUAACCACCAGCCACAAAACAGCAUCAAAGCUUCAGUGAUACACCUCCAUAUAUCCCAGCAGAUAUCGGGUGCUUUUCCCUUCUAUGCAAUAUCCUUCUUUCACCAGACAUGCUGAUCAUGCGCAUGAGCAAACCCGUUUGAUCUCCUCUGAUUACAAAACACGAUGCCAGUUGUGGUUUAACGAUGCUUGGUGAAGUUGAGCAGCUGCAUUAUGUCAGAUGCUCUCAGGAGGGGUUUCUUUCUUGCAAAGCUUCCAAACAGGUUUCUCGUAUUUUACAAGAAUCAGCACAACUGUUCAGUUCUCAAACUGAGAUAUUUUAGGAUCUUUUCCUCCAUCUAAUUUUACAGGAGAACAGUGUGUUUAUUGGUCCAGUUCCUGUCACAUUUCAUACCAUUUCAGACAUUAUGGCCAUAACUACCUAUGUACUUUUUCUUUAUGUAGCAACCAUCUGUCUUUUUAUUAUUUUUUUCAUAGUAGUUUCAAGUAUAUUUGAUGUGUACAAAAUGUCAGUGACAAUUAUACGUUGAAAUAGGCUCAGGUACUCUACAGCUGUGCAAUAUGGGAAAGAAAUAUACAUCAGCAGGUAAAGGUUGGAGGAACGAGGAAGUGGGGGGGAUUAUUUACAAAUACAAAAUAAUUGCAAACUAUGCAGAAUAUUUUAUGAUGUAUGGUAUGUAUGCCUAGUAAAGUAAAUGUAAGUAAAGUGCAGAUCCUGUAACUGUAAACACUGGAAUAUCUGCAGUCAGAGUGCAAGAGGUAGGAAAAUAAAUAGCAGCUGUAUGCAGUUGUAGGGUCUGAGCAGUCCUCUAUAGCUUUCGGAGAGCAUAAAAAACAGAUGAAGCAGCAGUACAAAGUAGCAUUUAAAAAUGUACAAUUAAAUUAGAUGUAGUAGUGUGUAAUAAAUAUGAUCAAUAUACCAAUAUACUUUAUUCAGAAUUCUGAUGGCCUGAAGGUAGGAACUGUUCUUCAGCCUGCUGGUUCUGGAUUGGUAAUGGAGGAUGAAGGGAUUUUACAAUCCUAUAAAAUAUACCACCCAGAGAAACAGGGUCAUGGUUAAAGUUUCUCAAGAAUGACAGUUUCUUUGCAUUUAUUUGAAAUAUUCUUUCAGGAUGUCAAUAAUAUUGGCAAAUAUUUUUGAGAGAAAAAAUAUAUUAUUUUAAAAAUGCCGUAAUGACUUUUAUUAUUUGUUUGUAGAACAAAAUAGUUCCUCUUAUUGUCUUAAGUUUUGAAUUGUAUGUAAUAUUUCUUUUCUAUUAUAAGUCCUGCUUUUUUUUAAUGAAGGGUGCCAAUAUUUCUGGAGGGCACUGUAUAAGAACAGGGCUGACCAUUCAAUUGUUAAUACCCAUGCAAAUAUUUACUCUAAAAGAGUAAGAUGAUGAAAUUUAUUUUGAGAAGGCUUUGUGUUCACACAGUUACUGAUUUACCUUUAUUUGGAUUAAAGGAUUUGGAAUUUAUUUUUGGAGUAUAGUAAAGCUUUUUAUUAUUUUUGAAGUUUCUUCAUGUUCUUCCUGCAGCUUAGGUUGAUUUAAUCAUGGUCAGUAUAUGGCUGCGACCCUUAGUUGGUUGUUUUGGAACAUUUCACAUACAUUUGUUGGACAACCGUCAGUACUGACUCCCAGAGAUUUCAGAAGUACUGGCACCCAGUGUGCGUUUCAAGGACAAGUGAAAACUCUGAAGGAUCUAGGACUUUUGCGUGUAUUUCUCAAGUAUUAUUGCACUUGAUAUGAAGCUUCAGCCAGAAUUUUUAGGGUGUCCAUAUUCCACAUGGAUAAACAUUGUGUAUCUGAGUACAUAAAAAAACACCACCACCACUACAUUAAGUUUGAAGUUAGAGAGCAAGAGACCUGUUUAAUGCAUGCUUUUUCUAUUUGCAGUAUCUUGUGAGAAGUCAUCACUGACAUUACACUUUGUAGUAACCGUAUGAGGAAAAAAAGGCUCAUUUAUCAAACUCAAUCUUCCUGCUUUUUGAGUCCAUAAGGGGUUCAGAGAGGAUUACAGAAACACAGCCAGAGGUAACAAGUGUAAUAGAGGCCAUUUGCAACAAAAUACAUGUGGCUAGUACUAAUGAAGAUACAGACAAGGCCUUUUUAUGUAGUACACUGUUAAUAUUUGGGAACAUUGAGGAUAUAUUAGCUAUAUGGUUGGAGUAGUAUAUCACAUCCUGGUUUUGACAAGUUA